This 312-nucleotide unclassified non-coding RNA is filed under the name Palleronia pelagia. RNAcentral describes it as "Maribius pelagius Long range pseudoknot". The record is from RNAcentral. Lineage: Bacteria; Pseudomonadati; Pseudomonadota; Alphaproteobacteria; Rhodobacterales; Roseobacteraceae.
ACGCAUGACUACGACGUCAAGAUGCGAAACGUCGUCAAGUUUCUGGAAGCCGGCGACAAGGUGAAGGUCACGCUGCGGUUCCGCGGCCGCGAGAUGGCGCACCAGAACCUGGGCCGCGAGCUGCUGGAACGGGUGGCCGACGACACCAAGGAAAUCGGCAAGGUCGAGAACUUCCCCAAGAUGGAAGGCCGGCAGAUGGUCAUGAUGAUCGGCCCGACCAAGUGACCGGCUCACGCCGAACCUGAGCCAACGCGGGCGGCCCCGGGGCCGCCCAAUUCGUGACCAAGACCCGCCGGGGACCCUCGAUGCUCA